This is a long non-coding RNA of Xiphophorus couchianus (Monterrey platyfish), 586 nucleotides long. RefSeq lists it as uncharacterized. Lineage: Eukaryota; Metazoa; Chordata; Actinopteri; Cyprinodontiformes; Poeciliidae. The transcript is spliced from 3 exons. The record is from RefSeq and is a predicted model, not a curated record.
AGAGCCGCAUCUCGAAAAGGAGCCGAAAAUCCCAUCACUAGUGGGAUGGAAAUGGUCUUUAUGUGGUUCUGCUUGGAAAUAUAAACUAACGACAAUUUCCUUAAGUUGUUUUGAAAUAUAAAUGCUUGUCAAUCUCGUUCAGUUUGACUUUAAUAUCGCGCAUUCAGCCGAGCUACGAGAUGGAGGAAUGACAACUUCUCCUUAAAAAUUAUUGAUGUGCCACAAAGGUUCUCUCCAGCGCCUUCCUCUGGAGGUCCGAGAACACGGCCCGCCGCAGCAUGCCCCUCCUGGGCUUCCCCCGGGGGGCCAGGGGCCAAGAAAACGUUCCUGGGACUGGAACCACAGAAGAAGAGGAGGAGGAGGCUGCAGGGAAGAAAAACAAGAUCCCUUAUCAAAGGAAUAUGCACUCACAUAUGAACUGACCAGACGUCGGCGGCCUACCUGAGAAGUACGAGGCUCUGAUGAGAGGAUGAAAGUUUCCGUCAAAGAACGGCAGCGACUUCGUCUGAAGACUCUGAACUGAGGAAGAGGAGGAAGAGGAGUCCCACUCAGUCACAUGAAAAGGAUUAAAAUCAUCCAAUCAGCA